AGGGUUUGAUCAUGGCUCAGAUUGAACGCUGGCGGCAGGCCUAACACAUGCAAGUCGCACGGUAACAGAACUAGCUUGCUAGUUGCUGACGAGUGGCGGACGGGUGAGUAAUACUUAGGGAUCUGCCUCUGUGUGGGGAUAACUAUUGGAAACGAUAGCUAAUACCGCAUAACGUCUACGGACCAAAGAGGGCUUCGGCUCUCGCGCAGAGAGGGACCUAAGCGAGAUUAGCUUGUUGGUGAGGUAAAGGCUCACCAAGGCGACGAUCUCUAGCUGUUCUGAGAGGAAGAUCAGCCACACUGGAACUGAGACACGGUCCAGACUCCUACGGGAGGCAGCAGUGGGGAAUAUUGCACAAUGGGGGCAACCCUGAUGCAGCCAUGCCGCGUGUGUGAAGAAGGCCUUCGGGUUGUAAAGCACUUUCAGUUGUGAGGAAAGGUUAGUAGUUAAUACCUGCUAGCUGUGACGUUAACAACAGAAGAAGCACCGGCUAACUCCGUGCCAGCAGCCGCGGUAAUACGGAGGGUGCGAGCGUUAAUCGGAAUUACUGGGCGUAAAGCGCACGCAGGCGGUCUGUUAAGCUAGAUGUGAAAGCCCCGCGCUCAACGUGGGAGGGUCAUUUAGAACUGGCAGACUAGAGUCUUGGAGAGGGGAGUGGAAUUCCAGGUGUAGCGGUGAAAUGCGUAGAGAUCUGGAGGAACAUCAAUGGCGAAGGCAACUCCCUGGCCAAAGACUGACGCUCAUGUGCGAAAGUGUGAGUAGCGAACAGGAUUAGAUACCCUGGUAGUCCACACCGUAAACGCUGUCUACUAGCUGUUUGUGGAUUUAAUCCGUGAGUAGCGAAGCUAACGCGAU
RNAcentral lists this ribosomal RNA (855 nucleotides) under uncultured Gammaproteobacteria bacterium. Its description in RNAcentral is "bacterial SSU rRNA". It matches the Rfam family "Bacterial small subunit ribosomal RNA", at positions 8 to 861 of the family's 1533-position model. Lineage: Bacteria; Pseudomonadati; Pseudomonadota; Gammaproteobacteria. The record is from RNAcentral.